AACGAACGCUGGCGGCAGGCCUAACACAUGCAAGUCGAGCGAGGACUUCGGUCCUAGCGGCGGACGGGUGGGUAACGCGUGGGAGCGUGCGCUUUGCUUCGGAAUAGCCCUGGGAAACUGGGAGUAAUACCGGAUGAGCGCUUCGGGGGAAAGAUUUAUCGGCGCAGGAGCGGGCCGCGUUGGAUUAGGUAGUUGGUGGGGUAAUGGACUACCAAGCCGACGAUCCAUAGCUGGGUGGAGAGGAGGAUCAGCCACGCUGGGACUGGGACACGGCCCAGACUCCUACGGGACGCUGCAGUGGGGAAUCUUAGACCAUCGCGGAAUCCCUGAUCUAGCCAUUCCGCUUGUGCGAUGCAUUCCUUAGGGUUGUAAAGCUCUUUCAGCUGUGAAGAUGUUGACGGUACCAGCAGAAGAAGCGCCGGCUAACUCCGUG
RNAcentral lists this ribosomal RNA (433 nucleotides) under uncultured bacterium. Its description in RNAcentral is "partial 16S ribosomal RNA". It matches the Rfam family "Bacterial small subunit ribosomal RNA", at positions 28 to 507 of the family's 1533-position model. The record is from RNAcentral.